Molecule: ribosomal RNA, 349 nt
Filed under: uncultured bacterium
Lineage: Bacteria
Description: partial 16S ribosomal RNA
Rfam family: Bacterial small subunit ribosomal RNA
Source: RNAcentral
UCUACGGGGUGCAGCAGUGAGGAAUAUUGGUCAAUGGACGGAAGUCUGAACCAGCCAUACCGCGUGCAGGAAGACGGCUCUAUGAGUUGUAAACUGCUUUUGUACAAGGGUAAACCUGAAUACGUGUAUUCAGCUGAAAGUACUUUACGAAUAAGUAUCAGCGAACUCCGUGCCAGCAGCCGAUGUAAUACGGAGGAUAAAAGCGUUAUCCGGAUUUAUUGGGUUUAAAGGGUGCGUAGGCGGAUGUAUAAGUUAGAGGUGAAAUGUACGAGCUUAACUUGGGAAAUGCCUCUAAUACUGUUGAUCUAGAGGGUAGAUGCGGUAGGCGGAAUGUCUGGUGUAGCGGUGA